GUGCCAGCAGCCGCGGUAAUACGGAGGGUGCAAGCGUUAAUCGGAAUUACUGGGCGUAAAGCGCGGCGUAGGUGGUUUGGUAAGCGAGAUGUGAAAGCCCCGGGCUUAACCUGGGAACGGCAUCCGGAACUGUCAAGCUAGAGUGCAGGAGAGGAAGGUAGAAUUCCCAGUGUAGAGGUGAAAUUCGUAGAUAUUGGGAGGAACACCGGCGGCGAAGGCGCCGAUCUGGAUAGAAUCUGACGCUGAGACGCGAAAGCGUGGGUAGCAAACAGGAUUAGAUACCCUGGUAGUCCACGCUGUAAACGAUGUGCACUAGGUGUUGGGGGUAUUGACCCUCUCGGUGCCGACGCUAACGCAUUAAGUGCACCGCCUGGGGAAGUACGGUCGCAAGACUGAAACUCAAAGGAAUUGGCGG
Molecule: ribosomal RNA, 415 nt
Filed under: uncultured bacterium
Lineage: Bacteria
Description: bacterial SSU rRNA
Rfam family: Bacterial small subunit ribosomal RNA
Source: RNAcentral